CGAUUACUGCUCAGUAACACGUAGCUAACCUAACCUUAGGUCAGGAUAACCUCGGGAAACUGAGGAUAACCCCUGAUAGAAAAUAAUUCCUGGAAUGGUUCAUUUUUGAAACUUGAGCCUAAGGAUGGGGCUGCGGCUGAUUAGGUAGUUGUUGGUGUAAAGGACUAACAAGCCGAUGAUCAGUAAGGGCUCUUAGCGGAGAAGCCCUGAGAAGGAAUCUGAGAUACUAUUCCUAGCUCUACGGGGUGCAGCAGUUGAGGAACUUUUACAAUGCGCGCAAGCGUGAUAAAAUAAGCCAGAGUGUUUCUCUUAGAGAAACUUUUGUCUGCUGUAAAAAGGCAGACGAAUAAGGACUGGGCAAGACCGGUGCCAGCCGCCGCGGUAAUACCGGCGGUCCGAGUCGAAUCCACAUUUAUUGGGUCUAAAACAUCCGUAGCUUGUUCUGUAAGUCUCUUGUGAAAUCUCAUAUCUCAAAUAUGAGGCGCGCAAGAGGUACUGGGUUACUAGAGACCGGAAGACGUAAGGAGUACGAUUAAGGUAGCGGUAAAAUGUGUUAAUCUUAAUCGGACUACAUGGCGAAGGC
RNAcentral lists this ribosomal RNA (583 nucleotides) under uncultured euryarchaeote. Its description in RNAcentral is "bacterial SSU rRNA". It matches the Rfam family "Archaeal small subunit ribosomal RNA", at positions 80 to 673 of the family's 1478-position model. Lineage: Archaea; Methanobacteriati; Methanobacteriota. The record is from RNAcentral.